RNAcentral lists this ribosomal RNA (140 nucleotides) under uncultured eukaryote. RNAcentral's name for it is "partial 18S ribosomal RNA". It matches the Rfam family "Eukaryotic small subunit ribosomal RNA", at positions 1299 to 1458 of the family's 1831-position model. The record is from RNAcentral.
UGGUGGAGUGAUUUGUCUGGUUAAUUCCGUUAACGAACGAGACCUCAGCCUACUAAAUAGUUGGGUGAACAUUUAUGUUCGCAUACAACUUCUUAGAGGGACAUUCGGUUUCGAGCCGAAGGAAGUUUGAGGCAAUAACA